CGUAAAGCGAGCGCAGACGGUUUAUUAAGUCUGAUGUGAAAGCCCGGAGCUCAACUCCGGAAAUGGCAUUGGAAACUGGUUAACUUGAGUGCAGUAGAGGUAAGUGGAACUCCAUGUGUAGCGGUGGAAUGCGUAGAUAUAUGGAAGAACACCAGUGGCGAAGGCGGCUUACUGGACUGCAACUGACGUUGAGGCUCGAAAGUGUGGGUAGCAAACAGGAUUAGAUACCCUGGUAGUCCACACCGUAAACGAUGAACACUAGGUGUUAGGAGGUUUCCGCCUCUUAGUGCCGAAGCUAACGCAUUAAGUGUUCCGCCUGGGGAGUACGACCGCAAGGUUGAAACUCAAAGGAAUUGACGGGGACCCGCACAAGCGGUGGAGCAUGUGGUUUAAUUCGAAGCAACGCGAAGAACCUUACCAGGUCUUGACAUCCUUUGAAGCUUUUAGAGAUAGAAGUGUUCUCUUCGGAGACAAAGUGACAGGUGGUGCAUGGUCGUCGUCAGCUCGUGUCGUGAGAUGUUGGGUUAAGUCCCGCAACGAGCGCAACCCUUAUUGUUAGUUGCCAGCAUUCAGAUGGGCACUCUAGCGAGACUGCCGGUGACAAACCGGAGGAAGGCGGGGACGACGUCAGAUCAUCAUGCCCCUUAUGACCUGGGCUACACACGUGCUACAAUGGCGUAUACAACGAGUUGCCAACCCGCGAGGGUGAGCUAAUCUCUUAAAGUACGUCUCAGUUCGGAUUGUAGUCUGCAACUCGACUACAUGAAGUCGGAAUCGCUAGUAAUCGCGGAUCAGCACGCCGCGGUGAAUACGUUCCCGGGUCUUGUACACACCGCCCGUCACACCAUGGGAGUUUGUAAUGCCCAAAGCCGGUGGCCUAACCUUUUAGGAAGGAGCCGUCUAAGGCAGGACAGAUGACUGGGGUGAAGUCG
Molecule: ribosomal RNA, 932 nt
Filed under: Leuconostoc mesenteroides
Lineage: Bacteria; Bacillati; Bacillota; Bacilli; Lactobacillales; Lactobacillaceae
Description: bacterial SSU rRNA
Rfam family: Bacterial small subunit ribosomal RNA
Source: RNAcentral